This 605-nucleotide ribosomal RNA is filed under the name Debaryomyces hansenii. RNAcentral describes it as "LSU rRNA". It matches the Rfam family "Eukaryotic large subunit ribosomal RNA", at positions 1 to 669 of the family's 3401-position model. Lineage: Eukaryota; Fungi; Ascomycota; Pichiomycetes; Serinales; Debaryomycetaceae. The record is from RNAcentral.
GGGGGCCGGUUGGGGAAACUUGUGUCUGACCGGAACAGCAGAGAGAUGAGCGGCAAAAGCUCAAAUUUGAAAUCUGGCACCUUCGGUGUCCGAGUUGUAAUUUGAAGAAGGUAACUUUGGAGUUGGCUCUUGUCUAUGUUCCUUGGAACAGGACGUCACAGAGGGUGAGAAUCCCGUGCGAUGAGAUGCCCAAUUCUAUGUAAAGUGCUUUCGAAGAGUCGAGUUGUUUGGGAAUGCAGCUCUAAGUGGGUGGUAAAUUCCAUCUAAAGCUAAAUAUUGGCGAGAGACCGAUAGCGAACAAGUACAGUGAUGGAAAGAUGAAAAGAACUUUGAAAAGAGAGUGAAAAAGUACGUGAAAUUGUUGAAAGGGAAGGGCUUGAGAUCAGACUUGGUAUUUUGCGAUCCUUUCCUUCUUGGUUGGGUUCCUCGCAGCUUACUGGGCCAGCAUCGGUUUGGAUGGUAGGAUAAUGACUAAGGAAUGUGGCUCUACUUCGGUGGAGUGUUAUAGCCUUGGUUGAUACUGCCUGUCUAGACCGAGGACUGCGUCUUUUGACUAGGAUGUUGGCAUAAUGAUCUUAACCCACCCCUCUUGAAACACGGACCAA